This 435-nucleotide ribosomal RNA is filed under the name uncultured Desulfobulbus sp. RNAcentral describes it as "bacterial SSU rRNA". It matches the Rfam family "Bacterial small subunit ribosomal RNA", at positions 952 to 1382 of the family's 1533-position model. The record is from RNAcentral. Lineage: Bacteria; Pseudomonadati; Thermodesulfobacteriota; Desulfobulbia; Desulfobulbales; Desulfobulbaceae.
CGAUGCAACGCGAAGAACCUUACCUGGUCUUGACAUCCCGGAGACCCUUAGGAAACUAGGGGUGCUUCCAUCUGGAAGAAUCUGGAGACAGGUGCUGCAUGGCUGUCGUCAGCUCGUGUCGUGAGAUGUUGGGUUAAGUCCCGCAACGAGCGCAACCCUUGCCUUUAGUUGCCAGCAGUUCGGCUGGGCACUCUAAAGGGACUGCCGGUGUUAAACCGGAGGAAGGUGGGGAUGACGUCAAGUCCUCAUGGCCUUUAUGACCAGGGCUACACACGUACUACAAUGGCCGAUACAAAGGGCAGCGACACUGCGAGGUGAAGCCAAUCCCGUAAAAUCGGUCUCAGUCCGGAUUGGAGUCUGCAACUCGACUCCAUGAAGUUGGAAUCGCUAGUAAUCGUGGGUCAGCAUGCCACGGUGAAUACGUUCCCGGGCCUU